AUCUCUCUCUCUCUCUCUCUCUCUCUCUUCUCUACUUUUGCGCUCAAUUUUUUCUUCUUUUCCCCCCAUUUUAACGUAUAUCAUAGUCUUAGACAGCGAUUGAUUAGAGGAUAGGAAUAGAAAUAAGUCCUUAUCCUCUUUAUACCUAAACCUUAAUUUUUUAUUUAAAAAUAUUAAUUUUCGAUUAUCUCCAUCAACAAUUUUAUUUUUUAUAUAAAACUAUCUAAAAUUGUUCUUGUCCCCGGUAACAACCCAAUUUUCAUUCAAACAUUAUUUUUUUUAUCCUUAUAUUUAUACCUAUCCCUGUAAUAGCUAGUUCUUGCUUAUACCCGAACCAAACGGUAUCUUAGGGUGUACUCGGCUUGAUUCA
Molecule: long non-coding RNA, 370 nt
Filed under: Ananas comosus (pineapple)
Lineage: Eukaryota; Viridiplantae; Streptophyta; Magnoliopsida; Poales; Bromeliaceae
Description: long non-coding RNA (ACOM_LNC043774)
Source: RNAcentral